ACUGUUACAAAAAGGGCGGCACUUGUUUGGCCCUGGCGGCAAAACGAUUUGAUUAUUUUUCCUAUUUUUUAACUGCUGCGCAAGAGCGAGAGGGGCUACACGUCCACGUCUGGUUAGAGCUAGCGAGUGGGUGAAAUAUUGCGAGUGUGGGAGCGAGUUCGAGUGCCGUUGUCAAGUCGUGUCCGUCCGUCUGUGGCGGUGGCGGCGGCGGCGUAGGAGACUGUGUCUCCGUCUCGUCUCUGUCUCGCCGCAAGGAGGCAGGAGGUGGCGUCGGCGGAGGUGGAAGCUGUGGUGUGGCAGGGGGGCAGAGCAGCCCGGCCAGAAGGCGUUAAAGUGCAAUGUUAGAGCAAAGACAACGAGGAACGACGACGGAGCAACAACGAAGAAUGCAGAAGCAGCGGAAGCAGCAGCACUACGUAGCGAACGCAACACAACAAUAAUUAAAAGUGCAACAAUUACAACAACCAAAACAACAACAACAACCAACAUGUGAAUUGCGUUUUUUUUUUACCAAAACCAAAACAAAACCACGAAGAACAAGUGUAGCCAGAGCCUGAGAGAGAGGGAGAGUGAAAGAAGGAGAAAGCGAAAAGCGAAGAGCGCCAUAAGAAAGAGACAAAGAAAGAAAAAGCCGCCAAAAUAUUAUAGCAACAGCAACAAAAACAUAAACAACAACAACUAGCAACAAACCAACAGCAAAUAACAACAACAAAUGUAAUAUAAAUAACGGUUCAAGCAAAACCAAAAAACAAUUUCGCGCGCGCUCUUUUUCCUUCUACCCUUUGUUUCUCUCAAAGACGGACGAGGACGAACACUGACAACACACACAAACAAAAAAUACAAAAAAAAAAACAACAAAACCGCUGCUUCUACGAAUUAUAUUUUGUUCGUCAAACAUCUUUUUUGAAAACUUCAAUCGUCAUUUAAUCAUCGUCAUAAUAACCACUCCAAUAAAACUCCACUCCCCCCGCAAUAUUCCGGAAACAGCAAACAAACAAAACAACAACAAUUUGAAAAGUGGCUAGAACAAAAACA
RNAcentral lists this small RNA (1035 nucleotides) under Drosophila pseudoobscura pseudoobscura. Its description in RNAcentral is "GA32104". Lineage: Eukaryota; Metazoa; Arthropoda; Insecta; Diptera; Drosophilidae. The record is from RNAcentral.